GGUUACGUACUUUAUUUUAAAAGAUUUAGUUUGCAACUAAAACUAGAGACCCACUCCGUAACCC
Molecule: transfer RNA, 64 nt
Filed under: Unio crassus
Lineage: Eukaryota; Metazoa; Mollusca; Bivalvia; Unionida; Unionidae
Description: tRNA-Ala
Source: RNAcentral